AAGGAGCUUGCUCCUGAUUGAUAAACAUAUGAGUGAGUGGCGGACAGGGUGAGUAACACGUGGGUAACCUGCCCUAAAGUGGGGGAUAACAUUUGGAAACAGAUGCUAAUACCGCAUAAAACCUAACACCGCAUGGUGUAGGGUUGAAAGAUGGUUUUCGGCUAUCACUUUAGGAUGGACCCGCGGGUGCAUUAGUUAGUUGGUGAGGUAAAGGCUCACCAAGACCGUGAUGCAUAGCCGACCUGAGAGGGUAAUCGGCCACACUGGGACUGAGACACGGCCCAGACUCCUACGGAGAGGCAGCAGUAGGGAAUCUUCCACAAUGGACGAAAGUCUGAUGGAGCAACGCCGCGUGAGUGAAGAAGGUUUUCGGAUCGUAAAACUCUGUUGUUGGAGAAGAAUGUAUCUGAUAGUAACUGAUCAGGUAGUGACGGUAUCCAACCAGAAAGCCACGGCUAACUACGUGCCAGCAGCCGCGGUAAUACGUAGGUGGCAAGCGUUGUCCGGAUUUAUUGGGCGUAAAGCGAGCGCAGGCGGUUUCUUAAGUCUGAUGUGAAAGCCUUCGGCUCAACCGAAGAAGUGCAUCGGAAACUGGGAAACUUGAGUGCAGAAGAGGACAGUGGACUCCAUGUGUAGCGGUGAAUGCGUAGAUAUAUGGAAGAACACCAGUGGCGAAGGCGGCUGUCUGG
RNAcentral lists this ribosomal RNA (689 nucleotides) under uncultured Bacilli bacterium. RNAcentral's name for it is "bacterial SSU rRNA". It matches the Rfam family "Bacterial small subunit ribosomal RNA", at positions 59 to 732 of the family's 1533-position model. The record is from RNAcentral. Lineage: Bacteria; Bacillati; Bacillota; Bacilli.